Molecule: ribosomal RNA, 199 nt
Filed under: uncultured bacterium
Lineage: Bacteria
Description: partial 16S ribosomal RNA
Rfam family: Bacterial small subunit ribosomal RNA
Source: RNAcentral
AGGCUGAAAUUCGCCUUCAUGAAGCCGGAAUUGCUAGUAAUGGCAGGUCAGCAUACUGCCGUGAAUACGUUCCCGGGCCUUGUACACACCGCCCGUCACACCAUGAGAGUUGGGGAUACCCGAAGCCUGUGAGCUAACAGUAAUGGAGCAGCAGUCGAAGGUAGAAUCAAUGAUUGGGGUGAAGUCGUAACAAGGUACC